UGGGGAAUCUUGCACAAUGGGCGAAAGCCUGAUGCAGCGACGCCGCGUGGGGGAUGAAGCUUCUCGGAGUGUAAACCCCUUUCGGCCCGGACGAAUGCCCCGCAAGGGGACUGACGGUACGGGUAUAAGAAGCCCCGGCUAACUACGUGCCAGCAGCCGCGGUAAGACGUAGGGGGCCAGCGUUGCUCGGAAUUACUGGGUGUAAAGGGUUCGUAGGCGGUGUGGCAAGUCGGGAGUGAAAUCUCUGGGCUCAACCCAGAGACUGCCUCCGAAACUGCUGUGCUUGAGUGUGAGAGAGGCUCGUGGAAUUGCAGGUGUAGCGGUGAAAUGCGUAGAUAUCUGCAGGAACACCCGUGGCGAAAGCGGCGAGCUGGAUCACUACUGACGCUGAGGAACGAAAGCUAGGGGAGCAAACAGGAUUAGAUACCCUGGUAGUCCUAGCCCUAAACGAUCAGGACUUGGGGUGCCGCCCGUUCGGGCGUCGUCCCGGAGCUAACGCGUUAAGUCCUGCACCUGGGGAGUACGGUCGCAAGACUG
RNAcentral lists this ribosomal RNA (537 nucleotides) under uncultured bacterium. RNAcentral describes it as "bacterial SSU rRNA". It matches the Rfam family "Bacterial small subunit ribosomal RNA", at positions 355 to 896 of the family's 1533-position model. The record is from RNAcentral.